GGCAGCAGCUAAGAAUAUUCCGCAAUGGACGAAAGUCUGACGGAGCGACGCCGCGUGGAUGAUGAAGGCCGGAAGGUUGUAAAAUCCUUUUAUGACUGAGGAAUAAGCAGGGUGAGAGAAACGCCCUGUGGUGACUGUAGGUCAUGAAUAAGCAACGACUAAUUACGUGCCAGCAGCCGCGGUAACACGUAAGUUGCGAGCGUUGUUCGGAAUUAUUGGGCGUAAAGGGCAUGUAGGCGGUUCUGCAAGUCUGGUGUGAAAUACCGGGGCUCAACCCCGGAACUGCGUUGGAAACUGCAGGACUUGAAUCGCUGAGGGGCAGCCAGAAUUCCAGGUGUAGGGGUGAAAUCUGUAGAUAUCUGGAAGAAUACCAAUGGCGAAGGCAGGCUGCCAGCAGAUGAUUGACGCUGAGGUGCGAAGGUGCGGGGAGCAAACAGGAUUAGAUACCCUGGUAGUCCGCACAGUCAACUAUGUACACUAGGUGUCCGGUCAUGAGACUGGGUGCCGAAGCAAACGCGAUAAGUGUACCGCCUGGGGAGUAUGCCCGCAAGGGUGAAACUCACAGGAAUUGACGG
RNAcentral lists this ribosomal RNA (575 nucleotides) under uncultured rumen bacterium. RNAcentral's name for it is "bacterial SSU rRNA". It matches the Rfam family "Bacterial small subunit ribosomal RNA", at positions 347 to 916 of the family's 1533-position model. The record is from RNAcentral.